UUGGAGGGCAGUCUGGUGCCAGCAGUCGCGGUAAUUCAGCUCCAAUAGCGUAUAUUAAAGUUGUUGCAGUUAAAAAGCUCGUAGUUGAAUUUCGGGAUUAGUACGCUGGUCGUGCCUUCGGUACGUACUGGUGUUACUGAUUUCUACCUUCUGACGAACCAUCAUGUCAUUAAUUUGGUGUGGUGGGGAAUCAGGACUGUUACUUUGAAAAAAUUAGAGUGUUUAAAGCAGGCUCGCGCUUGAAUACAUUAGCAUGGAAUAAUGAAAUAGGACGUUGAUCCUAUUUUGUUGGUUUCUAGGAUUGACGUAAUGAUUAAUAGGGAUAGUUGGGGGCAUUAGUAUUCAAUUGUCAGAGGUGAAAUUCUUGGAUUUAUUGAAGACUAACUACUGCGAAAGCAUUUGCCAAGGAUGUUUUCAUUAAUCAAGAACGAAAGUUAGGGGAUCGAAGACGAUCAGAUACCGUCGUAGUCUUAACCAUAAACUAUGCCGACUAGGGAUCGGAUGAUGUUAUUUUUAAUGACUCAUUCGGCGCCUUACGGGAAAC
Molecule: ribosomal RNA, 544 nt
Filed under: uncultured Glomeromycotina
Lineage: Eukaryota; Fungi; Glomeromycota
Description: SSU rRNA
Rfam family: Eukaryotic small subunit ribosomal RNA
Source: RNAcentral